Brassica rapa (field mustard) is the source of this 3972-nucleotide RNA transcript. RefSeq lists it as uncharacterized. The record is from RefSeq and is a predicted model, not a curated record. Lineage: Eukaryota; Viridiplantae; Streptophyta; Magnoliopsida; Brassicales; Brassicaceae.
CUUGGUAGCUUCGAUUGGAGUCUAUCUAGUCCAACUACAAAAAUGUUUGUUGACCUCUUUCUUUGUGUCAACGACCAAGCUGAUGAUACUUUUCUCUGCUGCUACCUCAUGGACUUGUCUCUCCUCGACCGAGAUUGCUCUCAGCGUUACCCAUCUAUCCUAGCCGCCGCUUGUGCCUUCUUGGCUCAGUUCAUGCUUCAUCCGGGUGCAAAACCUCAAGCGGUAUUUAAAAAUCAUAUGUUGCUCACACUUGUUCAUUUUUUUAGGUUAUUCCAUAACAUUCGUGUCUUUCUUAUAGGUAAUUCCAUGGGAUUACAAAAUUAGUGACUUGCAAACCAAGGUUGUACUUCUACGAGACAUAAUUCUUCAGAGACGUUUCGUCAACACUCGCACAAAAUACAUGUCUGCACAGGUAAAGAAAACAAAAAAAAUAUUCAUUGUGUAAAUGGUAACCUAACAAAACCCAUUAAAUUGAAAUCUGUUUUUCUUUUUAUAGUUUCAGAUGGUUGCUAACCUUGGAUGCGGAGACAACAUUCCAGAGGACUAUUUCUCAUAGUCAGUCCACAUAUUAUAGUGCUAUGACAUAUUAUACGUAUAUACACUAGCCAUAUAUACUACAUAUUGUAUUGGUUACAACAUAUUACGUAUUGUACUGAUUACAACAUAUUACAAGGUAUUGUAUUGAUUACACAUAUUAUUACGUAAUAAACAAUGGCUUUUAAAUCUAAUAUAUAGUUAUGUCAAUAUUUUUUUUUUUAUGCUGAAGACCGAAGAGAGAACUCUUACACUUUGGGUGGGUAGCUAGAACUUUAGUAGCACUAAAAUGUUCUUGUUUUAACCAUGCUAGCAAAGAAUGCACUAAAAUCUUUCAAACCAUACAGAAAUCUGAAUGCUGAGAGGUCCCGCUUUCAUAAUCCUUUUGAUGUCUUGAUGGAGUUGAUCUAAAACCGAGCUGUUGAGUCAGAAUAUUUUGAGACUUGAGGUGGAGAAGCAGCCUACGAAACUCAAAAUCCACAGCUUUAAUCUAUAAUGGCAGUUCUUAAUAACGAUAUCCUUGACCAUGAUUCUGAUCAAGAACGGCAGCAACAGCUUCCUUGGACUCCUUCAACAGCUUGAUACUAUUCUUAAGCUUCUCCCUCUUGCACGCCACAGACGGAGACUCAUCAAGCAUCUUCUCAACGUCUCCUCCUCCGCCCAAUUCCCCAACAAUCUCCUUCUGAAACUGACUGUUAACAAGAUUCUUCACAGUGAACUGAAGGUAAAGCGUAAAGCUAUCCACAAUCCUCCUUACGACGAUGGACCAGUAGGCCGUCAUGCUAACCUUCAUGUCGAACGCUUGAUGCAGCAACUGGGACGGAUACUUCCUCAGAUGCGUAAUCGAAACAGUUCCAAAUCCAGCUAAAGUUAAGGAUGAUUGAUUCGAGCUAACAGCAUUCACGAAGUUAGCUUGCGCAGCGAUCUUCUGCGUGCACACGGUGGUGUACUCAGGGUUGCAUGUGUACUCCGUCAGUUUCUCCAUUUCGAUCACUCUUGUCACGGACUGUUCUUUGAUCUUAGAGAUUAGCCUCCUACAAGCUCGUUAGAUGGAAGGCUGAAUCUGAGAGAAGUUUUCAGAGUAUUUGUUGAUGACUGAUGAGAGAACAACUUCAACGUAGUCCCAUAUCUCUCUCAUGAACUCGACCGGCCUAGCAUGUAUUGCAUCAAGGCGUUUUGUUAGGAUGGAUACGAAGGCUGAUCUUGGUAUGAAAUUAGGCAACCCUAUACAUUUGCACUCUUCGAGAACCUUGAUUUCAUCCAUCAAUCUUGGAGAGGAAUGGAUGUUUCUUGAAAAGCUCCUCUUCUUUCUCUCUAGCUUCUUGAUACGUCUCGUCGCCUACGCGGUUCCUGACACAGACGUAACCGAGAGUCCGAUGUUCACGUCGUCUGCCGUGACUUUCUCCAGGAGCCCUUUAGGUUGCACAGAGUCCUUUCCCCUUUCUUGUCAACUUGCUUGGACAUGCGUAUGGACUCACAGGUUGAGAAGUCGCAUGUAGCUGCCAGAACGUUGAGAAUGAUUGACUCCUGUGGCUCGAUGUAUUUCUUUAUCAUCGCGGAUACUUGUUCAUAUAUGUCUUCAGGUUGAUCUUUGACGGGGUUACGAGUAAUCCCAGGGAGAUCAACCAUUGUCAGAUCAGGAACACUCUGCCUUCUUACAUAGAGCUCGAGAGGAGUGUCUGAGACGCCUUCCCCAGUUCCUGCAAAAUGGGUAUAUUUUACAAUUUUAAUCAUAAUCACAAACUAGGAGUAGCAUAACAUAUAUAUAUAUAUAUAUGAUGUUAUAUUAAAUAUGUACACAUUUAGUUUUAAUUCAAAACUUACCAGCAAUAGCCUCAGUUGCUUUGCAUAUAUCUUCAGUGAUGUGUUCCUCAUCUGUAGAAUAAGACUUAUCACCGUACUUGAGCCAGAUCUUAGGUUCGGGGCUAGAACUCCGCUGAAGCCUCAUCACAAGAGGAACCCUAGUGCAUAUUUUAUCAGCUGCACGAGGCAAACUGAUUCCUGCCAGGGACUCGAGAACACUGGACUUUCCAGAGGAUUGGUCUCCAGCCACAACAAUAGUGGGAAGCUGGAUCCCUUCUUUCAUCACAUUCAGGUUCCUCAGCCUGUCCACAGUGUCAAGCAACGGCCUGAUGUGGUCAUUGUAGGAAGAUACAAUCGGCGCUUGAAUUGGAACAUUGUUGGUAAUUGCAAGAGAAGACAACCCCGCAUCGAUAUUAUUAUCACACACUUCGGACAUCAUACUGCCUCCCAUUUCGCUUUAGAUAUAAAAAGAUGGAGAGAAAGUAGGAAAUAUAAUGAGACAGAGAAAAUAACUUUUUGGUUGAUGAAAUCUUGUUUGGUGAUAAACAGAUAUAUAUUGUGAGGCUUACGGUGACGUUUGGUGUUUCAAGAACUAGAAGUCUGAAAGUUAUGUCCAUGGUUUUUAGUGCAAGAGUAAAAUGUAAAUCGAUCUUUACAACUUCUUCCAUCUAAGUUGAUCCGAAAUUAAUACUAUGAAAAGUCACCAUAUUCUCCCAUUCUUUAUACUUUGAACUCCUUGGAAAAGGUGAAAGAUAGUAACACAUUAAUGAUCCAUAUAUAAACGUAUGAGUUGUGUAUAUAAUUGUGGAUGAAUAACAAGAAGAUAGUAAAGUUUAGAACCUACGUCACAACUCUUUUUCUUCCUCUGGACAACGUCCAAACAUGAUGAAACAAAAAUCAACAACAAAUCAAAGCUUACAAUGCCAGUCACAAUUCACGAUACCGUUUCAUGAAUCUCUAGACAUAGCGUUAAGCAUAAUAGAUAGGUUACUGUUACUAGGCCUGUCAGUUGGGUUGGACCACACCCAAAUGGGUAUGUUCAACUGGGUGUUUUUUUUUCUGGGCUUAAAACACCUACACCCAUAUUUAGCCCACACCCAACAACACCCAUACCCAAUAACACCCAUCACCCAACUGGACACCCAAGUCCACCCAUUUAUAAGCAAUUUAAGUAUUGACCCAAAUCUGUUUUUUUUUAACACAUGCCCAAAUCUGUUUAAAUUCAAUUUAAACUCAUUUUAAAUAUUAAACAACAUUGAAAUAUGAUAGAAAUAUCCAAAAUUGAGUAGUAAAAUUUUGAAACUUUAAACAACAUUGAAAAUUUUGAAAAUCUGAAACAAUCUUAAAUGACUUAAGUUUUUAACAACACUGUUUAUGAAUUCACUUCAUACAACUCAUCGUGUUUCUGAAUCCAAAACAAAACGAUAUUCUAAACGAUUCAUCAUCAUCAGAGCUAGAGUAAACAAUGGAAACGAGAUUCAUCAUCAUCACAAAAUCCACAACGGAGAUUCAUCAUAAUACAAAACGAGAUUCAUCACAAAACCCACAACAGAGAUUCAUCAUCAUCGUCAUAAUAACUCGAGAUCGAAGCUAAAACUCAAAGUUAACCCGAGAUCGAAGCUAAAAACUCAAAGU